Podarcis lilfordi (Lilford's wall lizard) is the source of this 72-nucleotide non-coding RNA. The record is from the annotation of a GenBank genome assembly. Lineage: Eukaryota; Metazoa; Chordata; Lepidosauria; Squamata; Lacertidae.
GCCAUGGCUCAGUGGCAGAGAAUCUGCCUUGCAUGCAGAAGGCCCCAUGUUCGAUCCCCACUGGUUUCUCCA